Molecule: ribosomal RNA, 145 nt
Filed under: uncultured bacterium
Lineage: Bacteria
Description: partial 16S ribosomal RNA
Rfam family: Bacterial small subunit ribosomal RNA
Source: RNAcentral
CAAUGGCAGAAAGCCUGAUCCAGACCAUACCAGCGUGUGUGAAGAAGGUCAUAGGAUUGUAAAGCACAAUAAGUUGGGACGAAGAGUAAUAGCUUAAUACGCAGCAACUUUGACGUUACCGACAGAAUAAGCACCGGCUAACUAU